Polypterus senegalus (gray bichir) is the source of this 1218-nucleotide long non-coding RNA. RefSeq lists it as uncharacterized. The record is from RefSeq and is a predicted model, not a curated record. NCBI's taxonomy places the organism in Eukaryota, Metazoa, Chordata, Cladistia, Polypteriformes, Polypteridae. The transcript is spliced from 4 exons.
CCUACCUAAUGUUGGCAUAUGCUUCGCUCUCUCAACAUGAAUAUACAAAAUACACGAGAAGCCAUUUCCACCAGUUCAAGUCCUGUGCCAUGUGUUCUUGUAAAUCUCUUUAUGACCAAUGACACUAAACGUAUGGCUGUGCUGUUCUUAGACUCAGACACUUGUAUGUAGAAUGUAUUUGUAUGGGUCUGUUUAUUGUUAGGAGGAAUCCUGUCUGUCUUUAGGUUAUUAUUUUUCUUAGUUUCUCUACUUCUGUUUUUUAAUAAUCGUACAGUUCUGAUAAGCUACUUCUCAAUUUCCAAGUUUGUUUCACAGGAGCAAAAACAAGCCCACCUUUUACAGUUAAGAGCCUGUUGGUACAUUCUCAGUGUGGACGCUGGGGCCUUCACUUCAUGCGACUGCUGGGUGUUUCAUUUAUGAAGAGAAAUCUCUCGACAGUCCUAUUGUUGUGCUAGAGAGCUCAGUGCAGGUGCGGUAUCAUGACGAGGCCUCCUCAGCAGGCGGAUCUCCAAAGUUCCAGAACUCGGUGGAGUAGUAGAUGGAAAAUACAAGUCCAAGUGCAGGCAGUGACUGGGUUGCUGUAUUCAGGAUAGAAGCUGGACUGCCUAAAUCUCAAGCGCCUGUUUCAACCUUAAAUGAAAACACACAAACCAAUAGUUCUUCCUGCUUUACUUACUCAGUGCAAUCUUAACAUCCAAGUGAAAGAUGUCACCGUACAAGAAAUACAUUUUUGUCAUCGUGUCCCUAUGCUGAGGUAAUGUGCUCCUCAUCAAAAAAUCUAUAAAACAGAAAAGAUGUUUUCAUUCAUUGGUUUGUUUAACAUUGUGAAGAUAUUAUCAGCCUGAGAAAACAAUUGAACAGAACAAGAAUAUCAAUCACACCUUCACAGAUUUCACUUGACAGUAUCUGGCAAGAAGCACUAUGGGCCACAAUACUGCCAGAUACCUUAGCAAAAUUGUCAUCAGGACUCUAAAAUCAGGCCACAAAUGGCAGUGAAGAUUAAUGGGGAGCUAACUAAAUGGUUCAAAUCUACAGUAGGACUUUCUCUCUUGAAUUCAACACAACGAGCUCUCUUAGGCUGGGUUUAUACUUCAGGAGACGCAGCACAUGAUCCAGCAGACACUACUGCUAUGCAAACGUCGUACUGUUUAUACUUGAACGUGUACUUUACGUAAAUCUGGAAGAUUCCACCAGGUGGCAGUGCGAGAUAUCAUCACG